UUCAUCCUAUUUCUAUUUUUCCCCUAGAACAUAUUUGUUAUCUAUCAAUUUAGUCCCUUAUUCUCUUUUAAUCCUAACCUUUGAUCUAGAAAUGUUGUCUCUCUUAGACUGCCAUGUGGCAGCUCUCAGAUCUCUCCCUUCUUCCCUCUCUUCCCGAAACACAUCUCAGAACCUCUCUUUUUGUGUUUCUCUCUCUCUCUCUAACUCUCAAAAACUCUCACACUCUCUAAGCUCCGAGAGCUUCUCUCUAACUUUCACCUCACUUCCUUCACAAAUCAAACCCCAAAAACCAUAUAUUUGGAAUCCUUGAGACCUAACGAACUCAAUGGUACCCUUGCAUGCGCCAUCUGAGCACCGUGGGUUUUUCUGCCAUUGAAGCCGAGAGCUUCAAAGCUCUAAAACUCGAACCCAGCUCCGACGAGUUCGAGGUCCAUUUCUUCCCAAAACCUGCUGCAGUGCGUCUAGGUGAAGUUGCUAGUGGAGACUUCCUUAAUCGUUUUCCACACAAUUCUGCUGCUUCGGAGUAUCUGAUUUAGGAUCAAGGCACAUGAUCCCGGCGUCAAGGCACUUCCGCAGCAGCAUCUUCGAGUCCUCUCGGGGUAGGACCUACUCCUUGUUCAUUCAAUCUUAUCUUAAUUCUUGUUAGUGACUAUGUUUAGUUGUAUGCUCUGAACACGUUCCUAAAUUGUUAAUUCAUUGUUUUUAAA
Molecule: non-coding RNA, 707 nt
Organism: Malus domestica (apple)
Lineage: Eukaryota; Viridiplantae; Streptophyta; Magnoliopsida; Rosales; Rosaceae
Source: RefSeq, a predicted model, not a curated record